Long non-coding RNA from Lagopus muta (rock ptarmigan), 13417 nucleotides. RefSeq lists it as uncharacterized. The record is from RefSeq and is a predicted model, not a curated record. NCBI's taxonomy places the organism in Eukaryota, Metazoa, Chordata, Aves, Galliformes, Phasianidae. The transcript is spliced from 4 exons.
GCCAGCAGGAGUCAAUCAGUGGCUCUCAGACAUCUGGGGAGCUGUUUCCACCCUGGUUGGAAUUUGCUCCUGGUUCAUGCAGCUCUCAGGCACCGCUGCCCUCGGCUGCUUUGCUGUCCCCCUGAGUGUUUGUGUUGAAUAUCCACCCACAGGGGUCUCCUCACCUUGGGCUACACUGAACGUCAGAUGGAUGUGACAAUAUCCUAGGAUGACUGCCUCUUGCUUGAGACUAGCCCAAUGAGGUGUAUCUGGAGGAACCAUGUCACUUGAACAGGCGAGAUGGACAACAGUGCAAGCAGCAGAGCGCUUUGCCUCCCUCCUCCAUGUGCUGCCACAGGAUUGCUGCGAGCAGGAUGCAACGCAGCUCCGUCCGUGUGCAGUGUUCGUAUGUGCUUCUGCAUAACGAUUCUGAGGAUUACAGGUAUGGUCAGAAACUUUUUAAUGUAGUAUGAAAUAGUUGCACUGAGCGCAGCCCUUUCUGACCCAAGACCUCCACACCUAGCAUAGAACAGCAGUAAAUCCUGGGGCGGAUUAAGCAGUAUCCUCAUAGUAAUGUGUCUGUUGGAGUUUCACUUAACCCAGUGUAGCUUGAAACAUUUGGAUAUUCCAGUCUGUUUCCCUUCUGUAUGUGGAAAGUUGAUGGCAGGGCAGCAUCCUGAACUCUGACUCCCUGUAAAAGUUUAAAUUGCUGCCCUGCUGGGCUGGGUGAAUGCUAAUUGCUUUGCUGCUCACAAUGCGUCCAGACUGCUUAUUUAACAGAAAUCCCCAAAGACACUUCUUUUGCAUGCCAAAUAUACUGCACUCAACAAAACACACAAAAUAGCAGGCCUGUUUGCAUACAGCAAUCACAAAUCUGAUAUUUAGCAACCUUUAAGGAUGAUCUCAGUUCUCCAUUCAAUGCAGCAGUGCUCACUGCACACUGCCUGCAGCGGCAGCUGCAGCACAAGCACCAGGCAUGCUGCUCCUGGGAGAGCAGAGCAUGUCCCCAAAUGAUUGUCUUUGGUCUAGGACUGGGGUGUUCAAAGAAAGCACAGCUUCUUUCAAUCAGUUAGGAGGGAUUUCUGGGCUUUGACCUGGACAGGCAUUAGCAGAGGUGCAUUUGCAAUAAAGGCAAAGCUGGGAAGCACAACACAAGAGCCGUGUGUUAGGAGCUGCAUCUUCUUGGGGGUCUCAACACCUCUGCUGCUCCUCAGACAGGAGACUAAGAAUUAUUAACAAUUCUGUGACAGCAAUACUAAUCAGCAGGAAAACCAAAACUCGCUUGUGAUUGUUCAAUUCCUGUUGGUAAUCAUUAUGUACAAUUAGAACCUCACGGUGGGCAGGCUCCAGGCAGCAGUGCCCUUCGCAGGCUGCUUGCUGCUCCAUGGGGUGUUCUCUGGGGUCUGUGCUGCACACCCUGUACCUGACUGCGUUCCUGCCACGUCGUGACAUGAAGUCACCGGAGCGUGGAUCUGAGCAGCCACAAGAACUGCUUCCUGCCAGUUGGGGCUUUGCACUGGGCCACAGUAUGAGCACCGAUUUUUUUCUCAGCUUUGGUGGGAAGUACAGGGUUGGUGGUCACAAUCAGUUGACCGUGACCCCUGAAUCUUCUGAAAAGUGGUGUUAUGUUGCUAGCUUUUUUCCCUGUGUAUAGGGAACAAACCUGUUUAUUUGCAGCCAGGAUGAGUUUGCACUGCGUGACGAUGACAGUCUGGAUUUGGUUUUUGUCAAGGAGCACCCAGAUUGCUGAGGUCUGGGAGAACCCAUGAGAAGAACCCGCAAGAGAAAUGAUCACAGCAGCACCUGACGUUCCUGAGGAGGAAGAUUCACCUGCUACAGACCCCAGUAGACUGCAGCCAUGCUGUCUCUGUUGUGCAUCCUGCCCACCAUGCUGAACCAAAAUGCUUUGCAGGAGCCCCAUGGCCCAGCAUUGGUUCUUGGGAAUGUGCUGUUGCUGCACCUUCAAAAGCAGUGCCCAGGGAGAACAUGGAGCACAUACAGAUGAUGGCAAUGGUGAGGUGAGAGCAUGGCUGGGAUGUGCCACUUCACUGCUGCUCGUGUGACUUGGUCAGUGCACGGUGUGUGCCCACUUCUGUCCUGCAGCAUGGGGUCAAGAACAUGUUUGGAAACUGGUUAAAGUGAAGGUGCUUCAACUGUUAUUAGGCAGAGUACAAUUUUGGGGAGGGAAACAGCCUGAGUCCAACUGAUAAGAACAGGAAAAAAACUGGGAAUCUCAUGGUGUUUCAGACUCAUAAAAAGUGUGACUAAAUCAACAAAUAGAGUAUUCAUUAGGAAAAAUGCACUUAAUUUCAGACCAGGGAUGUGGAAGUGCCAUGAGAGUUUUCUUGGAGAAUUUUUAUCCCAAUCAGAAAAAAGAAAAGACUGCAAUUAUUAAGGGAGCCUGUUCUUCAGAGAGCACCAACCCAGUUUUCUGUACCCAGGAGGUCUAAGCAAUCUCACAUAAGUUUUGGCUGAGCAGCUCUUUCUCCCACUGUUGUCUACUCUGGAUGAGACGUGAGACGUCUCAUUGCUGUGUUCUGAAUCAGCUGCAACGCUGAACCUCUGAGACCUUACUGAAUAGGAAGAUAAGGGAGCAGUACGAUCAUUAGGGCCAUCUGUGUGGAUGAAAAGCUUUAAAGCCUCACCUGUAGGUAAGGGUUGACUUCAGCAAGCUGCCUGAGCUAGCCAAGCAGCGACAUGGGAUUUGGGAACAACGCACGUGGAGAUGCUCGGUGCUGCUCAGGAACAGGAUGCUGAGAGCCAUAGCAGAAACCAUCAGAGGAGGAUUCCUCCUCUUCAGAGCCACCCACAGCUUCUCCCUGUACCAAACACAAUGCUGGAAAACCCCUCACCUGCCUCACCCUCAGCCAGCAGAUGUGCAAAAGCAUGUCUGCAUCGUACACGCGUGGGCACUGCUCUGCAGCCAGCUCCUUCCUGCAUCCUGCAUGCUGUGGCUUAGGGGUGCUGGAACAGCAGCUCAACACUUCAAAUUACACCUUGGGUUUGUUACUUUUGUGAGAAGAUAUUUCUGGACCCUCUGCCAGCCCUCAGUUUGUAGUAACUGAGAAUGUACUAGCUCCGGAGCUUAGGAUAUUUUAUGAAAGGAGGAAAAAAAAAAAAGAUGAAGGAAAAAUGAUUUUGAUCUGAGACAGAAAUUCAGACAAAGGAUUACCCGUGUUGUUUGAACAGACAGUGCAUAAACAUUACUUUCUAUUAGAAGGAACGGAGACUUGCAACAUUCAGGAAACUACUUUAUUCAUGAAAUAAAACUAGGCCCAUUCUGCUUAUUCAAAUACCACCCACAACUUUCUGGGGAAAGAUCAUAUGCAGAGCAUAUUUGGAAACAUUAUUAGGAAUGCAUAAAGUACAGUAUUAGUCAAUUUUAUAUGCUCAGUUGCAUGAAAUCUGUGUGUUUAAAAAAUAUAAUAAUUUGCAUUUCAUGGCUUUUGAUAACCUCAGGAGUGCACUUGAAAUUCAGCACAUGCCCACAGCACCUCCCAGCUCACCCCAUUUUUAACUGAAGACCAAUGGUUUCUAUUAAGGGAUCAGGCAGGGACUCUGACAAGCCAGUCAAUAACUAUGUGAGGUUACUUCAUUAAUGCUAUAAUGGCUGAUAGAGUGAGAGGCAAAAAACAGGUUCCUGACAGCAGCAAAUGAAAAUGAUAGAGAUUCCUGAAGCAACGCGCCUUUCCUUUGUCAUUGUCUUUUGCUUGGCUUAUUCAAAAUGUGGCAUUUAUGUAUUCAGCCUUGAUGAAUGUUGCAGGCUUUAAGUACUUUUUCCAUCUCUAAUGCAGUGCCGAUUGCACAUUGUUCUUUCUUUCUCUCCCUCUCUUUUUUUUUUUUUUUUUCCUAUAACCUCUGCUGUCAAGGCACUGUGAGCUGAAGGGUUGCAGGCACCGGCUAAAUAGCUUUUUUGCUGUAAACGGCAAGGGUGACGGGACAAUGCAUCACCAGCGCUGCGAGGUCAGGCAGCCGGCGGGUGGUGGAGGUGGGGGCUGCCUCAAGCUGCUGCCGGAGCCCCCCGGCAGGACAGCAGGACCCACCCUGUGCUGCCUGGCCACAGGGCUCUACAGGCGCCCUGCUCCACGAGUCUCCUCCAGAGCAGCUCCUAGUCCAUAAGAGCAUUGCCUCCUAGUCCAGAAGAACGUUUCUGCUGCCCUGCCUGACAGCGGGGCCGCGUGGGGAAGGUGUGUGUCAGGUAAUGGUGCUGGGGAACAGAGCUCCUUAGAACGCUUCUGAGUAUCGCGCAGAAAUGCCUACGUUGCGGUUGGAAAUGUGAUAUUCUUCCGGUUUGCUUCCACUCUUGUUUUGUGUCAUUGAGGAAUGGCUGAGUAACCUGGGUCUGUUCAGCCUGGAGGAAAGAAGACUGAGGAGGGAACUGAUUGAUGUAUAUAAAUAUCCAAAGAGAGGCGGGAGGCAAAUGGAUUAGGGCAGGUUCUUCUCAGGGGUGCGCAGUGAGAGGAGAAGGAGCAGUUGCCUAAAACUUGAAUGUAGGUGUAACAGAAAUGCUAAGUCACAGCUUGAAACAGUGAUUGAACACCUGGUGGGAAGGCAGGGCCAACUCAGGGAAGCUCAGGUGCGUGCAAUGUCCCAAACUGACUGGAAGGGAUGGAGCCAGUAUGCACCCCUUCCCAGACCUCGUGUAAGGGCUGGCAGUAGAGGCAAGGGUACCUCAUCUGGAGAUCCCUGCACACUUGAGGCCUUCUGAAGGUAAGCAGCUUUUUUCCUUUAUUUCUGUGCCCACAGCUGUUGCAUUUGAGCAAAUCCUCACUUGCUGCACUUACUGCUCUGUUGUCAUUGUGCUUUCUAUUGCAUUACAGUAGGAAGUUUCAUACAAAAGUUUGGAAGCACUUCUUUAUUGUAAGGGUGACAGAGCAGUGGAAAAGGUUGCCCAGAGAUGUUUUAGUGUCUCCUUCUAUGGAGAUAUUUAAGGUCUAUCUGGAUGCCUAUCUGUGCAGUCUACUGUAGAGUAUAUGCUUUAACAGGAAGAUGGACUCGAGGAUCUCUUGAGGUCCCUUCCAACCCCUGUAAUUCUGCGAUUUAGCUCUUGGUAGUAUGGCGUGCCUUUGUGCUGCUAUGUUUGGCUGCUGGUUCCUUCUGCAAAUGGCUUUCCUGUAGGGCAGCAUGCUGGAGAAGCCAUGCUAGCCCUGUGCCUUGCAGCACUUAGCACCCUGUGCUCAUGCCAUGGAAGGAGGCAGUGAUGUGCCAGUGCUGGAGGUGAAACUGAGAUUCAAACAGUUUCAGCAAACUAAGUUACAAAAAUACUUCUUGUUUAUUGUUCCAUUCCAUUGUUAUUCCAGGUAUCUCAGCCAAAUACUGAGUAUUUUUGUUAAAAAUAAUAUAUUCCUUUCACGGGGUGUUUAAGCAUCCUGGUAAAUACUUGCCUGUUCUCUGCUUUCCUAUCCAAAGGCAAUUCUGCACUUGCAUAAAAGCAGCUUGUUUAAGGACAGCUUCUGCAGGUAAUUCAGCACAGUGCAUAGGAACAUGCUUAUCUUUACAUGGUCCCCAGCAGCCAUACCACAUGUGCAAUACUAGGCAUAGACUUAAUUGUCUGCUGACUUGAGCACAAAUAUCCAAAUAAUUAACUAGUGAGUUUAUAGUGAAAGACUUCUGGCUGAGAAAUGAGGAUGCAAAAAUAUAUAUAAAGCAGCUGCAGAGCAGUGAUUUCCAGCAAACUUGGAAAUGGUGAAGAAAAAUAUUGGUCCUAGGCAUGUCAGUGUGUCUGGAUGUUGAAGGACCUAAGGAGGAGCUUAAGUAUGAAUCAAAGCUCAGUUUUAAAUUGCUUCUACAGCAGAAGCAGAGAGGCUUGGAACUCGUGUUAUUAUUAUUUUGCUUUUACUUAAGACACUUGGUAACUUCAGGAAUUUUUCCCAUGUUUAUGACUAAACAAGAGCAAGCUUAAAGCAGAGGAAUAGAAUCAUUAAGGUUGGAAAAAUACUAAGAUCAUCAAUUCUAACCAUCAGCUUGUUCCCACCAUGCCCACUAAACCAUAUCCUUCAGUGCCACAUCUUCAUGGCUCUUGAACACCUCCAGGGACAGUGAUGUGAGAGGCCUGGACUCACAGAGUCCUUGGGAUGGCCAGACGAUGCCCUGAGCACAGAGAAUUUGUAGCCUAUUUCUACACAGAGCUGUGUAGAAACCACCAGCUCCCCUGGGAAGGCAAAAUACUCCCUGGUGCAGCCAGAAUGGCACAUCCCAAUGGCUGCAGAUGCAGACUCAAACGAUGCAGCACAUCCCACUAUGCCUUUCCCUGGAGGCAGCUGCUGUCCGGGGGUGAUGCCCAGGUAUGGGGAGGCUGCCAACAGUGCUUGCUCUGCCUGGAGAGAGGUCUAUAUUUGGAGCAUCAAAAUCUGGGAAGUGAUUUUCUGGGUGUGAGAGAGACCUGGGGGCCUAGGUGGUAGUCCACGUGUCUCUGCUUUCACUCUUUUUAAAAUUUCAGUUGUUGAGGUUCAAAAUCAUGGCAUUUCAAAUGGAAGGAAAGAUGUCAAACUGUAAUAUUGCAUACCUUUAUGUGCAGGUCUGGGUGUUGGCGGAGUCCUGUUUUCUUUUUUCUUCUUGCUCAGAGAUAACUGCAAAAUAUUUUCCUAUGAAUUUCACAGGAGACAUAGCACCUAUUUUACCUUCCCACACUUACAGAAUACUCUGAGCACAAAGGAGGGCAUUUAAUGAACUUAAUGAAUCAAUCAAUUAAAGAAAAUUUCAUAUGCUUUUCAUGAUCUCCUUGUUAAUUCAAGGCCAAAUUCUAUUCACCCCAGCCCAGUACUCCCCAGCAAAUAUAAGAUUAAAAUAGGUCAAUUGUUAUAUGUGGUACGUUUAUAAAAGGAUAUAUUAAUCAAAGGGCAUGUAUUACACAUAGAAAGGAACACGUAGAUACUUUUACAGCAGUGAUAUAAUACAGGCAUUUUAAGAAUCUUCUGCAUAUUAGUCCGCAUCACUCAUUUCCUCUUUCAAACAGAAGUUAGAGAAAUUAUUGCUAGCAAACAAAAAUCUAUUUUAGACAAACACAAUAUGUUCGGAAAGAUCCAGUUUGUCAUGCCAACAGUCUCAUUGGCUGUGAUUUGUAUAUUAAAAAGAUUUUAAUUGCCCAGGUAAGUGCCUGCACCUGCUAAGACAUUGAAUAUUAGAGCACUUUAUUCUAAUCUCUUAUAAUAUAGGGCACACUUCACCCAUAAAAUUAUUCUCUACACAAUUAUAGCUCAGUUUUGCUGAAGCAGAAAGUGCAACUUAACAGUUUGGUUUUACUCAUAAUUAUUAAAAUCAUGCAAAUUAGGAUCAUUAGGUAGCAGUUGUGUAGUUAACCACUCGAUAGCCUGGUCAUGUUUUCCCUUUCAGUGCAAACAAUGAGAGGGAUGGAAAUGCAUCACCUCCCCAGCUCUGUGCUGUGCAGUGGGAAUGGAGUUUGGAAGCACAGGGAGGAGCCCAGAAAGCCCUGGAAUAACUCAUCUGUUUCUGCAGCAGAACCAAGGCUUGAAUUCUGGCCUGCAAGGUGGAAGUUACCCAUGGGUUCACCUCCUGUAGCUUGGGUUCACCCAUGGGGCCCAUGCAUUUGCAUGGUUGGCUCAGCAAGGCUCUGGAGACAGGCUAGGGAGGGUUCUGAUUAGUGUUUGCUCUUCAGAGGUCAGUGUCACCCUCUGUGUCCCGCAGCAGAGCUCUAUGGCAUGGCUGGCGGUGACCAUCCAAGUUUGGCUGCAGGACCUCUGCUUUGAGAUCUCUGUAGCAGAGCUGUGCCUCAGUCUAGUGGUGGGAUCAAUGAGGGAUGCCUUGAUCAAUGAGGUGUGCUUUGACAGCCAAAUUAAAUGAAGUUAGAGUCUCACCCAAUUUCCUCAGGUGUUGCUACGCAUCCCUAUACGCACAGCUGAUGAUAUAUCUCUACUGAGGAAGAGCACCGUAUUUCCUCUCUGACUUCUGCAUAUUCACUAAUAUCCUGCUUCUUCCUGCGUUCUGUGCUUUGUCUAUUCAGAGGUCCUAAAGCUACUCAGAAGUUACCAGAGGAGGGAGUUCGUCUACGAUCACCAUCAGUGUUAUUGAAUAAUUGACUUGCUGUUCCAAUGAAAUUCAACUUCAGAAUUUAUUCUCACUGCAUCACCCUGGUUCAAUUUUUCUCUAAAUGAAGUUCUGUCCAGAUGGGAUUGUUCCCUGCACCAAGUUCCUCCUCUCCUGCAAGUCCUGGAGCACAGUGCUGUAGUCAUCAGGAUGAUGUGUUUUGCUUUGUCCCAUCUGGAGGAGGAGAUACUCGUUGUCUUUAGGUUUGUGCCUUCUAAACAUUUUCUUCUGUGGAUUUCCUGUGAACUUAGUGAAAGAAGUGAGAGGAUAUUUCUCUAGCAAUUACUUUCACGUGCCUGCAGAUGAAGCAACAUACCUGAACUGUAGAACUGUGAAUGCUGGUGGAUAACACUCUUUCUAAUGUCCUUUCUGUCCUGAAAUGUGGACAUGCUGGUGCUGCAGUCCUGUAGGCGUUAGAGAACACGUGGUGCUCUGGGCACCUUCCCAUCUGGAGCUGGGCUGAGUUGUGCCAGGGCAGAGGUGCAGAGCUCAGCUGAAAGCAGUGCCUUGUCUUACCCGGCCCUGAGUAUGCCAAGGGUGAGGGACAGCAUGGCUACAGCAGCACAUCACAAAUACAUGCCCUAUACCCAUGUAUAAGAGGAUUUACCUUGGGGUAUUUGAAGUGGAAGGAUGAAACUGAGCAAAGCAAAACUUACAGUGAUGCAAAGGACUCCUGAGAGAUGAAGGGAAGCCUUGCCAGGUUGACUGGUGAAUGCUGAGGUGGGAACAGGCUGAGAGGAAAUACUUCAGUUGUCGGCAGGAGGAACGAGGUGUCCUAUGGGAUUCUCAGGGUGAUUCAAAGAGUGUCUGUUUUCAUGUUUUGUUUUGUAAUUGACCAAAACAUACACAGCGGAUUCUCACAGGGCUGUGCUGAGCCAAUGCUCUUGCUGAAGUCAAAUGGAGAGGAACUUCAGAGUUUGCCCUGCUGGAAAAUGUCCAUGGGUGAAAUUGUAGGGAACACAAGAAAUUCCCUCCAAAAUGCUCAUUUUGCUGUACAUCCUCCCUACAGGGGACAUGUGUAAUUAGCAAUUGCUUCCAGUAAAUGACUCUCUGAUCAUGACGACAAUCCAAUUUGAAGGAAAUUAUUGUUUAAAAAAAAAACAAACAACCAAACAAUCUAUGGAGGGGCUCUUACACUAACAAGCACCUUGCCUGUGCAAUGCCCCACUUGCAGCUGAACAUUUGCCAGCACUCACACGGAGCACAUGGUUUAUGACUUGCCUGCCAUGGGCAUCCUGCAGCACAGAGAAGGGAAAAUAAUCCCCUCAUGAAAACCCCUGGUCUUUCCCACCAUGGUUCUUCAUGCUCAAUGGACGCCCCAGCAAUUUGCAUGGCCUCUGUAUACAUUUGGUUUUGAAGGAUACAGCUUGUGAAGAAACCUCUUAAAAGAACUUUUUUUGUUCCCUUCAUUAUUUUAAGGCAUCUAGGGUAAUGUUGUUUCUUGAUGUGCUGCUGAUGUAAAGUCCUUAUUGUUAGAUGUCUCACAGGGGAAACUCCUUUUCCUUCUCACCAGCUGGAGCAUCUGCGCUUCACUCAUCACCAAGGAGUGAAAUCCUUCCCCCAUUUACUCCACUCUUCAUCAGAUUUCAGUGUAUUUUUAAGUCUCCACAAAGUCUCCUCUGUAUCCCUGUGCUGCAGAGGAUGAGAGAGAGGACCUUUAACUGGUUGUCCCCUCUUGUCCUAUACAUCACCAGGACACCUACCUUUGGCCACCCUGGGCAAAGAGCAAAGUCUGGGUCCUGCUCUUCCCAAGGCCCUCCCUGCACCAGCAUCACAUGCAACAUUCACAGAAGCAGACUAAUGCUCUUCAAAAGUUGGUAAGGUGGGGUUUCGAGCAGUUUGGCGUUGCUUUUUAGCCCACAUCAGGGCUAAAUUUGCCCUGCUUCUGAGGGCUCAAAGGAAGGAGACACUGAAAGUUUAUGCUUUAUUAUUGCUCUUUUUACUUCUUUUUAAAACAACAACAACAACAAAAAAAACAGGUUUAUUAUCCUUUGACCACUUCCAUACCUCAUGAAUCAAAUCUGCAAGAACUAGAGUUCCUCACCACACAAAAUCAUAGAAUCAUAGAACAGUUCGGAUUGGAAGGGACCUUUAAGAUCAUCUAGUUCCAACCCCCUGCUAUAGGCAGAGACACCUCCUUCGAGAACAGGUUGCUCACAGCCCCAUCCAGCCUGGCCUUGUAUGCUUCCAGAGAGAGGGCAUCCACAGCCUCGCUGGGUAUCCUGUUCCAGUGUCUCAACACCCUCACAGUAAAGAAUUUCUUCCUGAUAUCUGGUCUAAAGGAAUAAAGAUGGUUUCAUUUUUGGUUCAUUUUCUAAAUCACAAAUCUUACAAAUUCGGGAUAAAUUCUAUAAACAAAUGGGCUCAUCUCUGAACUCAUCAGGACAAUGCUAUGCUUAUAUAAACUGCUACUUGUGGCAAUGGGAUAUAUGGCAUUUUUUAUUGCAAAAGGAGGACAUAUUAUUCAAAUAAACAUUGAGAAAACAAAAUGAGCUCAAUAAAAUUGGGAUGCCCCUAGCAAUCAGAGUUUUGCUUUAAAAUAGCAAUAAUAAUUGAUGCUCCAUUCUGCUCCCCUGCAAGUGCAGUUAGAGGGUGCAUUUGCAAUCUAGGACCCUCUGCUGUGUUGAGAUGCUUCCUGCCCACGGCAGGAUUGGCUCCAGCCCCUGCAAUUGUCCUUCACUUUUAGGGUCCCACAAGCCCUGUUCCCAAACAAGUGCCCAAACUGCCUUUGUUCCCCUUUUCCAACAGGACUAAGCAUGCGAGGGAUGCACGCAGGGGGCAGUCACAUUGUGCAAACUGCAAAUGUCAGAAUUCCCCUGUUUUGAGCAAGCAGUGCAUCUGCGGUGGAUGAGGAGUUACCCAGUACUACAUGGGUGGGCUGGAGCAUCUCCCCAGGGCCGUUGCCUCCCCUCUUCGCCUUCCGACCCUGGUGUUCUUAUCCGGAGCAACAGCACGCGCAUUUAUCACACGACUUUAUGAACAGUGAAGGUUUAUUACAUUGCACUUAAACCUCAUUUAACCUUUUCUCUGCAAGCAAUACUUUAAAGUGGUACUGGAGAGUUUGCAAAAUCCUGGUGAGCUGCUUUCCUCGUUCUCAUCCCUAAAAUGCUCGUCUGCAAACCCUACAUUUGCUGCCUUCAUUUUUCUGCUACGAGGCAAAAUACUGAAGCAUGGUAAUGAUUUAUGAUAAGAGGUAACUUUAUGUAUGUAUAUAUAACUUUAAAUAAUAUCUGGCUUGAAGAUGCAUGCAUCUUUGUCUAACAUGGUGGCAGCCACAGCCCUGACACCUCACACAUGGGUAUGUGGAGGAGUCCUCAGGCCCACAGACCUCCUGUGAGCUAUCAUGCUGCUUGCAGAACUCUUGCAGAGAAGGCUGAGGACUAGCAACCUGGGAGUGAACAGCAUAAAAAGAUUCCAGGAAGAAGCAAGCUCCCCUGGGAACCAACGUAAGUCCCAUAACUGGGGAUGCUGAAAGUGAACAAAGCUCCAACGUAACGACAGCAGUAGCAUCCUUCACAGGUGGAGACUCCAAAGCUAAAUCAUGUGCUUCUGGAUGUGAUUUCAGAGAUUUCCCUCUAUGCCCUGGGUUGGCCAGAACACUACACAGUGUUUGUGUUGCUUGGGUAUUGAAAAACAUGAGCAAAAACUGUGAAUUGUGAUCUAGAACACUUCCUGAAAUCAAAGAAAUCUGAAUUCUGACAGAGAAAAACCUUCAUUUUUGAUUUCUGCAGAGCCAAAAGAAAUCAGCUGCAAUAUGUAAAUUCUCACCAUGCCAAGGCUGGGUUGCAAACUUCAGAUUCCAUGGUGAAUGCUCACAUCCUUCCCUUGGCAGUGCUGAGUUUAGAUGGCUGAUGAUUGAGUGUUGGUGCUGUCGCGUUGCUGUGUAAGGCAGGUAAGGAAAACAAGAUUGUAGUUAGAUUUUGUUUUGAUUGCACUGACUUUAUUUUUUUAAAUUCUCUAUAUUUUAAUUAGGUUCUGUUUGGGUUACAGCUUUAGAUUAAAUUAUGCCAUUUCACAGACCUAAUAUCUUAAGCUGAUACAUUUCCUUCCAAAGCACCUUGAGUGCUUUGCAAACUUUGUGCUAAAUACUGCAAUUAGUGAAGGCCACAAAAAUGAUAAAGAAAAGAUGUGUUUAUGGGCUCUGCCAGUGCAGCUUCCCAUCAACUCGUGACUUUCUUUGGAAGGGAAGAUCUUGGUAUCCAAGUUGGAUCUGAGCUUGCGAUGCCUCACACCUGAUGUCCUCUCCUCUUUCUUGAAAAUCUUCUCACAUGGAAGCUCAGAAACACAAAACAUUCUCAACAGAUGGCAAUUAAGAUAUUUCUCCUUGGAAAGUCUGAGCCUCUGCUGGAUGCAACCAUAAAUAAGUACUUUAAAAAAAAAAUCUUCCAGCGUGGUGUCAGAUAUUACUGGAAGUUGAUGUUGAUGCUUUUUGUAGCUUGAAGAUGGAGUGGAGGAUUUGUAGAAAUGGCUGUAUUUAAGGGAGCUGGGCCAGGGUGCUGCUUGCUAGGCAACCUGACAAUUAAAUCAAUAAUUUCCCCAGUGGUACUGCUGCACUGGAUGAGUCUUCCAAAGUCAACUUGGAGGUAAGCAAGAAUGUGCCAUAACAGUGUGUUUUUGAACUGCAGCAUAGAGACUUAAUUGAUUUACUCUUUAUUCUUUUCAAAAGACAGCUGAAUGUCAAAGGUCUUUCUUUUGUGAAGUACUGGAAAACCCGUUGUCAAACAACCUCUACUCAUUUAAUAAUUUAUCCCAUUUCGUAAAAGAAAGGCAGCUGACAUGCAGUAAAUCUAGUCCGUGUUUAAAUUACUGCAUUGAACAAUAAUAAGAGGAAUGAAUAAUCUAGUACAUCUAUUUAAAAUUAAACAUAUAUGAAACUGUAUUUCCAAAUGAUCACCAAAGGCUAUAGUUUAAAGGCAGGACAGAAACCAUGAGCAGAAUGAAAAUGCUGAACAGUAGUUUGCAAGUGGCAGUGGAAUUAUUUAUUCUAUUUUUUCUAUACAUAAGGAAUAGAGCUAAAUGAACAAUGUUUAAGCAUGUCAGAAUUUCAUCAAUUUUGCAUGAGUAUUCACAAAUAUCCUGGUGGGGGUAAUUGCUUGCAAAUACAUUUAAACUAAUGAUAUGUUAUAUCCUUACUUGAUAUAAAACUAUUAAAAGAUACGUUAUUGCAUUUGACAAUGCCAUGAAGCUGGGUCAAAGCUUAAUGACAGAUUUCUGCAUUUGUAAAUUAAGAUACACUCUGCUGGAAGCAAAUAUUUUGUAAAAAUAAAAGCCAUCUACUAUGGAAGUUUGAUCAUUGAUCUAAGGUUGCUUUUUGGCUUCUCCAAGCACUGAGCCUGAAAAACUGGGAGAAAUGGAGAUCUCUUUCCAAAGAGAACUGUGAAAACACAGCAUGGUC